This 1265-nucleotide ribosomal RNA is filed under the name metagenome. RNAcentral describes it as "SSU rRNA". It matches the Rfam family "Eukaryotic small subunit ribosomal RNA", at positions 558 to 1801 of the family's 1831-position model. The record is from RNAcentral.
AGUCUGGUGCCAGCACCCGCGGUAAUACCAGCUCCAAUAGCGUAUACUAAUGUUGCUGCAGUUAAAAAGCUCGUAGUUGGAUUUCUGGCUUUGGCGCACCCGGCCCAGCCUUUGGUUUGGGUGCCGGCGUGCGCCGGCCACUGUUCCAGGCGAUCUGCUCUGCCAUUGAUUUGGUCGGGGUAGGGAGCCUGGUCUUUCACUGUGAAUAAAUUAGAGUGUUCAAAGCAGGCCGCAGUCCGUGAAUAGCCCAGCAUGGAAUGAUAAGAUAGGGCUUCGGGUGUGGGGGCGUUUCGGCGCUCUUGCACUUCCUUGUUUUGUUGGUUUUAAGGGCCGGAGUAAUGAUUGAUAGGGAGCGUUGGGGGUGCUAGUAUUCAAUGGCCAGAGGUGAAAUUCUUGGAUUCAUUGAAGACUAACAUCAGCGAAAGCAUUCACCAAGGAGCUUCUCUUUAAUCAAGAACGAAAGUUGGGGGAUCGAAGACGAUCAGAUACCGUCGUAGUCUCAACCAUAAACUAUGCCGACUGGGGAUCCGCCGAUGCUAGCCUAGCUCUCGGUGGGCACCCUAUGAGAAAUCAAAGUCUUUGGGCUCCGGGGGGAGUAUGGUCGCAAGGCUGAAACUUAAAGGAAUUGACGGAAGGGCACCACCAGGCGUGGAGCUUGCGGCUCAAUUUGACUCAACACGGGAAAACUUACCAGGUCCAGACUGAGGAAGGAUUGACAGAUUGAAGCUCUUUCUUGAUUCUCAGGGUGGUGGUGCAUGGCCGUUCUUAGUUGGUGGAGUGAUCUGUCUGGUUGAUUCCGUUAACGAACGAGACCUCAGCCUACUAAUUAGUCGGUCGGAGUCUGAUCUCCGUCCUAUCCGACUUCUUAGAGGGACUAUCUUGCGCGUAGCAGAUGGAAGUUUGAGGCAAUAACAGGUCUGUGAUGCCCUUCGAUGUUCUGGGCCGCACGCGUGCUACACUGAUGCGUUCAACGAGUGUCAAGCGGCCUUUGGUCGCUAAACCCUUGGUCGAUAGAUCCCGGGUAAUCUUCUGAAAACGCAUCGUGAUUGGGAUAGAUGAUUGCAAUUGUUCAUCUUCAACGAGGAAUGCCUAGUAAUCGCGAGUCAUCAACUCGCAAUGAUUACGUCCCUGCCCUUUGUACACACCGCCCGUCGCUUCUACCGAUUGAGUGUUCCGGUGAACUCUUAGGACCGCGCGCCCUCGUGGCGUCGCGGGAAUUUGCGUAAAUCAUAACACUUAGAGGAAGAAGAAGUCGUAACAAGGUA